CUCAUUUUGUUUUAUAUUUUAUUCAUAUAAAUUAUGUUUAAUAUACAAAUAUUUGAUGUGACACGAAAGCCCUGUUUCUCCUGAACAAAAUUAUAUAUGAUAAGUGUGGAUGCACAUAAUAUGAAAGAGGUGAAUUACGCCUGACAGACAUAUAGCGCAAAUUCAAGGUUUUGUUUACGUUUUGUAUUAAUCACAACUUGUACAACUGCCUCAGUCCUUAAGGGGUUAAUACUGCAGUCCAAUGGCAAAUAUUCCAUUGGGCCCUCCAGGCCUGAAGAGCAAUGGCAGCACAGGCCAACAGUGUUUGCACAAACACAUAUGGUGAUUGAGCGAGGGAGGGCCCUGCAUGAUUCCUGCCUGCUGCCUUACUCCUGUAGAACUAUGGAAAAAUACAUCCUAGCACCCCACCUGCUAUUUGAAUUCUUAAAAGAAUAGCUAGAGGCUUCAGCCUUCAACCCUCUUCCCAGUCUCCCCAUGCUAGUGGCAUAGUUGCUCACACCCUUCUUGUUAACCUUCACACGACAUGCAGACAAUAAAAAAAAUCUUGGUGUCUUGGAGAUGUAUUUGACUUUUUAAACAGACAGAUCACCUGUUUCGAGGAUGGAAGACCUGGGCGCAAAACUUACAAUUGUGUGGUUGUUGUGUGCUCUGGGUGCAAGGUUAAAACAACAAUGUGUGGGUUUAAUAAAGCAGGUGUGAGGUUUAUAAAUAUUGGUUUAUAUGUAAUUUAAAAUUCAAUUCUAAUAAUGUUUUCUUGCUUUUGUUUUAUGCUAGAAGACUAUCCUCUGAGAACAAAUGUGGUUUUACUUUUUAACUCUACAUUGUGAGAAAAUUGCAGUAUAACAU
Non-coding RNA from Pelobates cultripes (western spadefoot toad), 846 nucleotides. NCBI's taxonomy places the organism in Eukaryota, Metazoa, Chordata, Amphibia, Anura, Pelobatidae. The record is from the annotation of a GenBank genome assembly.